CCCUACGGGGCGCAGCAGUGGGGAGUAUUGCACAAUGGGGGAAACCCUGAUGCAGCGACGCCGCGUGAGCGAAGAAGUAUUUCGGUAUGUAAAGCUCUAUCAGCAGGAAAGAAAAUGACGGUACCUGACUAAGAAGCCCCGGCUAACUACGUGCCAGCAGCCGCGGUAAUACGUAGGGGGCAAGCGUUAUCCGGAUUUACUGGGUGUAAAGGGAGCGUAGACGGCAGCGCAAGUCUGGAGUGAAAUGCCGGGGCCCAACCCCGGAACUGCUCUGGAAACUGUGAAGCUGGAGUGCAGGAGAGGUA
Molecule: ribosomal RNA, 305 nt
Filed under: uncultured bacterium
Lineage: Bacteria
Description: bacterial SSU rRNA
Rfam family: Bacterial small subunit ribosomal RNA
Source: RNAcentral